GAUGAACGCUAGCGGCAGGCCUAAUACAUGCAAGUCGAACGGGUGGUCGCAAGACCACUAGUGGCGCACGGGUGCGUAACGCGUAACCAACCUGCCCCGAUCUGGGGGAUAGCCCGCCGAAAGGCGGAUUAAUACCGCAUAUACCCGCAGCCUGGCAUCAGGCAACGGGGAAAGAUUUAUUGGAUCGGGAUGGGGUUGCGUGACAUUAGCUAGUUGGCGGGGUAAGGGCCCACCAAGGCGACGAUGUCUAGGGGACCUGAGAGGGUGAUCCCCCACACUGGCACUGAGAUACGGGCCAGACUCCUACGGGAGGCAGCAGUAGGGAAUAUUAGGCAAUGGGCGAGAGCCUGACCCAGCCAUGCCGCGUGCCGGAUGAAGGCCUUCUGGGUUGUAAACGGCUUUUCUCAGGGAAGAAAAAGACCUUGCGAGGUACACUGACGGUACCUGAGGAAUAAGCACCGGCUAACUCCGUG
RNAcentral lists this ribosomal RNA (473 nucleotides) under uncultured bacterium. Its description in RNAcentral is "partial 16S ribosomal RNA". It matches the Rfam family "Bacterial small subunit ribosomal RNA", at positions 28 to 507 of the family's 1533-position model. The record is from RNAcentral.